AUUGAACGCUGGCGGCAGGCCUAACACAUGCAAGUCGAGCGGAUGAGAGGAGCUUGCUCUUCGAUUCAGCGGCGGACGGGUGAGUAAUGCCUAGGAAUCUGCCUAGUAGUGGGGGACAACGUUUCGAAAGGAACGCUAAUACCGCAUACGUCCUACGGGAGAAAGUGGGGGAUCUUCGGACCUCACGCUAUUUGAUGAGCCUAGGUCGGAUUAGCUAGUUGGUAGGGUAAAGGCCUACCAAGGCGACGAUCCGUAACUGGUCUGAGAGGAUGAUCAGUCACACUGGAACUGAGACACGGUCCAGACUCCUACGGGAGGCAGCAGUGGGGAAUAUUGGACAAUGGGCGAAAGCCUGAUCCAGCCAUGCCGCGUGUGUGAAGAAGGCCUUCGGGUCGUAAAGCACUUUAAGUUGGGAGGAAGGGCUCAUAGCGAAUACCUGUGAGUUUUGACGUUACCAACAGAAUAAGCACCGGCUAACUUCGUGCCAGCCGCCGCCGUAA
RNAcentral lists this ribosomal RNA (500 nucleotides) under uncultured bacterium. RNAcentral's name for it is "partial 16S ribosomal RNA". It matches the Rfam family "Bacterial small subunit ribosomal RNA", at positions 30 to 523 of the family's 1533-position model. The record is from RNAcentral.